This 106-nucleotide small RNA is filed under the name Klebsiella pneumoniae. RNAcentral's name for it is "partial RtT sRNA". It matches the Rfam family "RtT RNA", at positions 1 to 103 of the family's 130-position model. From Rfam's summary of the family: This family represents a bacterial cis-regulatory element known as RtT RNA. Lineage: Bacteria; Pseudomonadati; Pseudomonadota; Gammaproteobacteria; Enterobacterales; Enterobacteriaceae. The record is from RNAcentral.
UGCAUCUGGGGCCUGUGAGGAUGAGAACCUCCGGGGGCAGGAGGUUCGACUCGAGCGAAGCGAGAGAACGUUGCGUCAGCAACGGCCCGCAGGGCGAGCCACGAAG